This 253-nucleotide ribosomal RNA is filed under the name uncultured bacterium. RNAcentral's name for it is "partial 16S ribosomal RNA". It matches the Rfam family "Bacterial small subunit ribosomal RNA", at positions 524 to 776 of the family's 1533-position model. The record is from RNAcentral.
UACGAAGGGGGCUAGCGUUGCUCGGAAUUACUGGGCGUAAAGCGCACGUAGGCGGCUUGUUAAGUCAGGGGUGAAAUCCUGGAGCUCAACUCCAGAACUGCCUUUGAUACUGGCGAGCUUGAGUUCGGGAGAGGUGAGUGGAACUGCGAGUGUAGAGGUGAAAUUCGUAGAUAUUCGGAAGAACACCAGUGGCGAAGGCGGCUCACUGGCCCGGUACUGACGCUGAGAUACGAAAGCGUGGGGAGCAAACAGG